GACGAACGCUGACGGCGUGCUUUAGACAUGCAAGUCGAACGAGAACACCCUUCGGGCGUAGUAAAGUAGGCGAACGGGUGAGUAACACGUGGGCAACCUGCCCCUCGCAGGGGGACGAACCGGAGGAAACUCCGGCUAAUACCCGUAAGCUUGUCGGACCGCAUGGUACUGACAAGGAAAGGUAGCUUCGGCCAUCCGGCGAGGGAUGGGCCCGCGGUACAUUAGCUAGUUGGGUGGGGUAACGGCCCACCAAGGCGACGANGUAUAGCUGGUCUGAGAGGAUGAUCAGCCACACUGGGACUGAGACACGGCCCAGACUCCUACGGGAGGCAGCAGUCGGGAAUCUUGCGCAAUGGGCGAAAGCCUGACGCAGCAACGCCGUGUGGGUGAGGAAGG
Molecule: ribosomal RNA, 396 nt
Filed under: uncultured bacterium
Lineage: Bacteria
Description: bacterial SSU rRNA
Rfam family: Bacterial small subunit ribosomal RNA
Source: RNAcentral